RNAcentral lists this ribosomal RNA (493 nucleotides) under uncultured Sphingobacteriales bacterium. Its description in RNAcentral is "bacterial SSU rRNA". It matches the Rfam family "Bacterial small subunit ribosomal RNA", at positions 903 to 1382 of the family's 1533-position model. The record is from RNAcentral. Lineage: Bacteria; Pseudomonadati; Bacteroidota; Sphingobacteriia; Sphingobacteriales.
GCCCGCUCAGAAACUACAAAGGAAUGACGGGGGCCCGCACAAGCGGUGGAGCAUGUGGUUUAAUUCGAUGAUACGCGAGGAACCUUACCUGGGCUCAAAUGUAUGUUGACGUAUUCUGAAAGGGAUACUUCUUCGGACAAUAUACAAGGUGCUGCAUGGUUGUCGUCAGCUCGUGCCGUGAGGUGUCGGGUUAAGUCCCAUAACGAGCGCAACCCCUAUCAUUAGUUGCCAUCAGGUCAAGCUGGGGACUCUAAUGAAACUGCCUACGCAAGUAGUGAGGAAGGUGGGGAUGACGUCAAAUCAGCACGGCCCUUACGUCCAGGGCUACACACGUGCUACAAUGGCCGAUACAGAGGGCAGCUACCUGGUGACAGGAUGCAAAUCUCCAAAGUCGGUCUCAGUUCGGAUCGGAGUCUGCAACCCGACUCCGUGAAGUUGGAUUCGCUAGUAAUCGCGCAUCAGCCAUGGCGCGGUGAAUACGUUCCCGGGCCUU